GACUAUUGGUCUCAUUUUCUUUUGGUCGUUUUGGCGUCUUCACUGUUUCCUGAUCUUUUCACACUCUGCUUCAUGCCAUCUUUACUCUUUCUUGCAAUUUCUUGGUCCAUGCUGCCCUGCUCACGUCACCGCAAACUGUUCACUACAGGACACCGUACUUUUGAGAGCGACGCCAGCUUCACUCCGCCUUUGCCGUUCUUCACCCUAAAACUGGCGGACGCCGCUUGGAAAACCCUGCGGCGUAUAAUCUGAGGCCCGGGCCAACCUUCUCUGGACCGGAUCACCAGGUGACUGUUGUCCACGAGAAAGGAUUAUGGUGAUAACACCCUGGAAAAUCUCCAUGGCUGAGGUGGUACUUCUGGAAGACACGGGCACCCUGCUGGCAUCUGGUUUCCGUCAUGUGCCGUAAUGCUCCCUUCAGCCCAGUUUCAAGAACCGCACAUCGAGAAGCGCUAUGGGUGUGACAAGGCUUAUAGCUGAGGCCGGACCCUCUCACAGAUCGACUGUCAUCUGUCUGAUGAAGCACAGUUGAUGGACAAACCCUUUUUUUUUUUUUUUUUUUUACUCCAAUUCUUGGAUCUCUGUUCAUGCAUCGCUGCAAAAAAUCAAGUGGGAGCUCCACAGAGACACAUCUUUUUUUCUGGCUUCCAACCCUGUUGUAACUGCUGGAUAGUCUGCUGUGCAACAGCCUGAAUACUCGCCCACUUAUGGGAAGAUGGAGGCAGGAGCUGAGGUUUGUCCAAAACAGCACCCCAGGAGGAAACCUGCGUCGCACGGCUUGGAGGACCAGAAAAGGCCUAAUCCUCUUUGGACUCAUGGUCAGAAGAUAACCUGGACUCGUACCAGCAUGACCUGGACACAAAGAACCAGACAGGACACAAAAAACCAGACGGGUGGCACUUCCUCACCUUAACACGGGGGACGCCGGCCUGAACACUAACAUGGUUUUUCUGGCAUUUGGCGUCUCCGAACAGUUGGAACAGGGAAACA
Nerophis ophidion (straightnose pipefish) is the source of this 990-nucleotide long non-coding RNA. RefSeq lists it as uncharacterized. NCBI's taxonomy places the organism in Eukaryota, Metazoa, Chordata, Actinopteri, Syngnathiformes, Syngnathidae. The record is from RefSeq and is a predicted model, not a curated record. The transcript has 3 exons.